Python bivittatus (Burmese python) is the source of this 1726-nucleotide non-coding RNA. The record is from RefSeq and is a predicted model, not a curated record. Lineage: Eukaryota; Metazoa; Chordata; Lepidosauria; Squamata; Pythonidae.
UAUAACUUUUUGUCAAAUACAUUUUAGGAGUUAUCAGAUUAAUGGAGAAUAAUUUCAACCUGAAUAAUCCCACAUUUUUCAUUGUUGCAGAGAAGGAUGAGUUCAUUCCUCUUGACCAAGUUACUGAGCUAACUAAGAAGCUGGAAGUGGAAUGCAAAGUUGAUUUUGAAGUGAAAAUAUAUCCUGGGCAGACUCAUGGCUUUGUACACCGCAAGAGAGAAGACAUUAAUCCUCAAGAUAAACCUUACAUUGAAGAAGCAAGGAAGGACAUGCUGUGUUGGCUGCGCAAAUAUAUCUAGCAAUCUGUGCAAUCUAUCAAAAUGCCAGAGAGAGAGAGAGAGAGAUUGAGAUUUCAUUAGUGGAAAAAAAGGAAUGCAAAACAUAAGCUUUGAUUACUUAAAUGCAUAAUUUUCUCUGCUAUGAGCAAAUGUAUAUAGCAAUAAGGAGGCUCAGCUGCUGCUCGGAACAAUCUCUUCCCCCAGACCGCAUACCCACCAGCAUCGGAUUAGGAAUGGAAACAUGGUUGUUUGUUCUGACACACAAACAUGUUUAUUCCUUCCUCUCCAGUACCAGGCUCUCUCCCAAACCUCAAAAGCAUUAUGAUAGUGCUUUUCAGGAAAGAAGUGAAGUUUUGUCUGUGUGUGUUGCAGGGGAAGCCUUAUUAUAUAAAAAUACAUACUUAUUUUCAAACAAAAUUGAGGAUUUCCACUUACUUUCCAAAUCUUAUUUACUAUGUAUCUUAUUGUAUAGUUUUCUUACUAUGCAUGGAUCUAUAGUUUCUGGGUACCUAUGAACUACUUUUCCUUCUCUUCCCCCUUUUACAGGUGGGCUUGAAUUGCCCAGAUCCGUGUUAAUGUCCAGGUCUUAGCUAGCCCUGCUCCAGGUGCUCUUCCAGACUUGGAAUGUGGAGACAGAAGAUUCUUCUCUCCUCAGUUGAGUCCUAGCCACCUUUAUCAACCCAAGAUUUGGCUGCCUUGGUUGGCUUGCAUUUUCUAGGCUUUUCAGCCAAGUAUCAUCAUCUCUGGCCAGAGACACUGCUGAGACUUUGGCGUCUCCAUUCCAGAAUGGGAGGGGAAACCUGGCUACCAGUGCUAGCAGACUACAGGUACUGCUCUAGACGUUGGCCUAGCUGCGGGCUCCACAGGUGUUCCUGCCUCUCUGGGCUGCCCCAGCUCUCAGCUGCUCACCCUGAAACAGUUUCUGCUUCUUUGCACCUCCAGGCACCUCUGCAUGCUGGCUCCAGUCCCAAAGGCUCACAACGUUGACUUUGUCCUGGGAAUCUUUUGAUUUACUCAGCUCCCCUGCAAGCCUCCUUUCUGUCUCUCCCACGCAAACCUCCUGACACACCCACUGCCAGGUCCCAAAGGUUUUUCCUUUUGCAGCUAGAGUGCAGGUGUGGCCCAGCUGCCUCAAAGUCCAGGAGGGAAAGAAAAGAGAAAUGGAUGGGAAGGCUUGUGCAGACUGCUAUGAAGCUCCUCCUUCCAUAGAGAGAAAGCCAACACAACUAGAUAGUAAUGAGUGGCACAGUGAAAGUAGUCUUCUCUAAGCCCAACCCAAGAAAUACAUCCAAUUUUUGAACAAGAGGGAACUGGAAGUCCUAUAAGUCUUUUCUAUUCCAGCAUUCCUAAUUCUUAGGUAUUUCCCUGUCUGGAAAUAUAAUACCUGCCAAUUUAUGAGACAGGCUUUCACAGCAAACAGCAAACUGCGUUGCAGUUAAAAAAAAAAA